UUUAUAAAUAGUUUAAAUUUUGAAUAGAUAGAAAGGAGUGGUGGAUAAGUGGGUAGUAUUUGUGAGUCGUUCAAAAUGUAUGGAUAAAAAGUGGCUUGAAUGUUUAUAAAAAGGUUAAUAAACAUUAACCUAACACAUGCUUAUUUUUACACAUAAGGUCUUGGAAAGGGAAUUGAAAGAGCAGGUGCAUAAUAUGAGCUUUAAAAGGUAUCUUCAAGAGGUUUGAUAUGAAAUCAUGCUGUACUGAAGAGACUGCUGUUAAAUCCUUCUUUUAGUUAUAUAUUAAAGCUUCAACUAUUAGCGCAUUGUAAAAGAUGAUCCUAGCCCACCCCAGGGUGUUGGAUUCUCUGUAGAGAAUUGUUAAUUUGUACAUUGGUCCACAAAUUGUAUCAAAUUGAAUUUAUAUUUAAAGCAUAAAAAUAACACAUUUUCCCCUCUGACAUCUUCCCAUUACUGUUAUCAUUAAUGAACAACUAUUGUGUAUUUACAUCAAGUUUAAGAAGGCAGCAGACCUAUACUUCUGACUUACGUUCCAAGUAUACGUUCUUUUAGCUGUCUGACGGGAGGCACUAGUCACCUGCAUUAACAUGUUUCUGUUCAGAUAUAAUUCAGCCCCUUGCAAUAUAUAGAGAUAGAAAUUUUGAAUACAGAUAUUAUAAUAUAAUUGUAUAAACAUUGGAAAGCUAGCAUCACCUUGGUCUUUGUAAAUGACUUCGAUUAGAUAGAACAGCAAUUGGACAGCAGAAAAGUUUGUUACACUUUAAGAUUCCUCUGAAUUAAAUUAUGGAUGCUGUGUGCAGUUGAGCAUGAAGUAUUGGAAAGAGAAGUUGGAAGAUUACGAGCCCUGUAUAAGCAGCAGCAGCAGCAGCAGCAGCAGCAACAGCAACAGCAGCCAUCAUCUAGCCAUCGACGUGCUAAGAGCAGAGAUCUGGACCAGCAAUUUGCUAAUCUUUCGCUGAAACCCAAGGAAGCAAGUGCUAGUCAUGAUACGGUUUCUGAGUAUAUCUAACUUGAGUUUUAUGAUGCCUCCUAACCGUUCCUUGACUGAUGACACCAUCCCUUGCCAAUGAAAAAAAUCAUGGUUCACCUUUCCCAGUGUCAAGCCGGAUUGUUCCAGUCCUGAGCUCAAGCUUGCUGCCUGGUCUGUUUAUCUUGUGCUUUGUCGUUAUGUUCUCUGUGUUAGUAUUUGGCAAUUUUCUUUGUUAUUAGUGUUGCCAUGUGCACCUGGUAGUCUGUGCCGGAAAAUAGUUGUUCUGGUGGAUGACUCAUCUGAGGUGGCUCUUCCAAACUUGAUUGAUGUUAAUGGUCUUGUAUGUCUCAAGUGAUUACAUCGAUCGAUUUCCCUUUAACCUUUUGCCUUAUUAAACAUUGCCAACAGCCCAGAAAUUGCUUUAUGAAAUCCCAAAACUCUUGAUUUCAUCGAGUACUUACUGGUGAUGAUUGUUUGUCGAAAAUUAUGGAGAUCUUGAUUAACUACCAAUAUAUUUCAAAGACAUGUUAGUUGUGUAGUAUUUGACACUAAAAUAAACGAAGUUUUAGAUCUUUUUUCUGUUGUAGAAAUCAUCAGGCCUUUGGGUUCGUUAACCAUCUCUCAAUUCAUUUUCUUGAAGUCUUUAGAAGUGAUCAAAUU
Molecule: long non-coding RNA, 1630 nt
Filed under: Olea europaea (common olive)
Lineage: Eukaryota; Viridiplantae; Streptophyta; Magnoliopsida; Lamiales; Oleaceae
Description: long non-coding RNA (OEUR_LNC011567)
Source: RNAcentral